UACGAAGGGGGCUAGCGUUGUUCGGAAUUACUGGGCGUAAAGUGUGCGCAGGUGGCCGCGCAAGUCGAGUGUGAAAGCCCCGAGCUUAACUUGGGAAUUGCGCUCGAAACUACGUGGCUAGAGUGUGGCAGAGGAAGGUGGAAUUCCACGUGUAGCGGUGAAAUGCGUAGAGAUGUGGAGGAACACCGAUGGCGAAGGCAGCCUUCUGGGCCAACACUGACACUCAUGCACGAAAGCGCGGGGAGCAAACAGG
Molecule: ribosomal RNA, 253 nt
Filed under: uncultured bacterium
Lineage: Bacteria
Description: partial 16S ribosomal RNA
Rfam family: Bacterial small subunit ribosomal RNA
Source: RNAcentral